RNAcentral lists this ribosomal RNA (253 nucleotides) under uncultured bacterium. Its description in RNAcentral is "partial 16S ribosomal RNA". It matches the Rfam family "Bacterial small subunit ribosomal RNA", at positions 524 to 776 of the family's 1533-position model. The record is from RNAcentral.
UACGAAGGGGGCUAGCGUUGCUCGGAAUCACUGGGCGUAAAGGGUGCGUAGGCGGGUCUUUAAGUCAGGGGUGAAAUCCUGGAGCUCAACUCCAGAACUGCCUUUGAUACUGAGGAUCUUGAGUUCGGGAGAGGUGAGUGGAACUGCGAGUGUAGAGGUGAAAUUCGUAGAUAUUGGGAAGAACACCGGUGGCGAAGGCGGCCAUCUGGACCGUAUCUGACGCUGAGGCGCGAAAGCGUGGGGAGCAAACAGG